This 71-nucleotide transfer RNA is filed under the name Candidatus Daviesbacteria bacterium. Its description in RNAcentral is "tRNA-Val". It matches the Rfam family "tRNA". Rfam says of the family: Transfer RNA (tRNA) molecules are approximately 80 nucleotides in length. Their secondary structure includes four short double-helical elements and three loops (D, anti-codon, and T loops). Further hydrogen bonds mediate the characteristic L-shaped molecular structure. tRNAs have two regions of fundamental functional importance: the anti-codon, which is responsible for specific mRNA codon recognition, and the 3' end, to which the tRNAs corresponding amino acid is attached (by aminoacyl-tRNA synthetases). tRNAs cope with the degeneracy of the genetic code in two manners: having more than one tRNA (with a specific anti-codon) for a particular amino acid; and 'wobble' base-pairing, i.e. permitting non-standard base-pairing at the 3rd anti-codon position. Lineage: Bacteria; Candidatus Daviesiibacteriota. The record is from RNAcentral.
GGUCCGUUAGUCCAAUGGCAGAACAGUUCGUUUACACCGAACAAACACAAGUUCGAUUCUUGUACGGACCA